Molecule: ribosomal RNA, 263 nt
Filed under: uncultured archaeon
Lineage: Archaea
Description: partial 16S ribosomal RNA
Rfam family: Archaeal small subunit ribosomal RNA
Source: RNAcentral
AGUCACUGACAUUAGAUACCCGCGUAGUCCAGGGUGUAAACGCUGCAGACUUGGUGUUGGAAGCCCUUUGGGGGCAUUCAGUGCCGGAGAGAAGUUGUUAAGUCUGCUACUUGGGAGUACGUCCGCAAGGAUGAAACUUAAAGGAAUUGGCGGGGGAGCACCGCAACGGGAGGAGCGUGCGGUUUAAUUGGAUUCAACACCGUAAACUCACCAGGGAAGACUGUUACAUGAAGGCCGAGAUGAAGACUCUGCCAGAUUUUCAG